This 395-nucleotide unclassified non-coding RNA is filed under the name Hevea brasiliensis (rubber tree). The record is from RNAcentral. Lineage: Eukaryota; Viridiplantae; Streptophyta; Magnoliopsida; Malpighiales; Euphorbiaceae.
UAACUAUUUCACAUUUAAAAUUUCAGCCAAUAUUUGAGUUUGUGGAAUAUGGAAUAACUAUUCCACAUUUAAAAUUUCAACCAAAGUUGAGAAUAGCUAUUCAAUAUGGGGAAUAGGUCUCUAUGCCCAUGCUAUUUCACUCGCUUCCAUGAACCAAUUAAUGGGUGCAAGUUUUUGAAUGUGAUGAUAUUAUAAAAAAAUGUAGUAAAAAUUUGUUUUUCUGUAGAAUUCUUAACCCAAGAAGGCAGCAAACGCCAUUGCCUUUCGUUUCAAAAGUUUAUUUUCCUCUGUUUUGGAUAAAUUGAAAAUGUUAAAUUUGUGAAUUCCUGCUGCUUUAACCCUUGACUGUAUAAACACUUAAUAAGCAGGCAAGUGUUGAUUAUUAUACUUUUUCA